GACGAACGCUGGCGGCGUGCUUAACACAUGCAAGUCGAACGGUAAGGCCCUUCGGGGUACACGAGUGGCGAACGGGUGAGUAACACGUGGGUGAUCUGCCCUGCACUUCGGGAUAAGCCUGGGAAACUGGGUCUAAUACCGGAUAGGACCACUGCCUGCAUGGGUGGUGGUGGAAAGCUUUUGCGGUGUGGGAUGGGCCCGCGGCCUGUCAGCUUGUUGGUGGGGUGAUGGCCUACCAAGGCGACGACGGGUAGCCGGCGUGGGAGGGUGACCGGCCACACUGGGACUGAGAUACGGCCCAGACUCCUACGGGAGGCAGCAGUGGGGAAUAUUGUACAAUGGGCGCAAGCCUGAUGCAGCGACGCCGCGUGAGGGAUGACGGCCUUCGGGUUGUAAACCUCUUUCAGCACCGACGAAGCGCAAGUGACGGUAGGUGCAGAAGAAGGACCGGCCAACUACGUGCCAGCAGCCGCCGCCG
Molecule: ribosomal RNA, 478 nt
Filed under: uncultured bacterium
Lineage: Bacteria
Description: partial 16S ribosomal RNA
Rfam family: Bacterial small subunit ribosomal RNA
Source: RNAcentral